ACAGCAUGGGGGUGAAAGCCCAAGACAAAUCGGAGAGCAAUUUUGAUGUGAUGGUGGGUAUAUUCAGGUCUCUACCUUACCUAGAAACAUGAGGACCAGGGCGCCCCCCACCAUGAUCACCGUCUGCAGAGCAUCUGUGUAGAUCACGGCCGUGAGACCCCCUGGGGACCCAAGGAGAGGGCUCAUCAGUCAGCACCAACAAGGGGUUCCUCUCUGGCUGCCCGCCCUGUGCUUGGCCACACUGGGGAGACCAGACAAGACAUGGAGUCCUCUUAGCAGGUCGAUUCUAGCCACCUGCCUUCCCCCCACAGGCUGGUGCCAGCCACUGGCACUCAAAUCUAGCUCUUUCUCUCCCCAGUGGCCCUUGGGUACCGCAGCUGCACCUCCCUCCUUUGUUCUUAUUGUUUUUAAUACCCCAAGACUAUUCCUCUGCUGGGCUGAUAGUUCUACCAGGAAUACUCCCUCCCUCCCCACCAAACACCGUUUAAAUUCCCUAUAUUUGCAAACUGACUUAGCCACAAGCCAGGAACCCAGGUGCCCAGGCCUAUGGGAGGUGCUCUGGAGGAGACAGAGGAAGGCAGGCUGGUGGCUUUGCCUGGAACAGUCCACAGCCACACUACUCCUGGUGACAGUCCCCUAGUCACGCUCCUGCUCACUGUAGCAUCCCUAGGUGACCCCACUCCACCUCUCCCUGUCUCUCUGUCUCUGCUCCAGGCACCUGCACCCCAACACGACCCGCCCUUGGCCUUACCUGCAAUGGUGUAGACAGCUGUCACCACCAGAAGCAUCACUGUGGAGAGGUAUAGGUUCCAGCCCAAGGCUAUCUGGAUGAACAGGGCUCCAGAGAAGAUGUCAGUCUGCAGAGACCGGGACCCAGGAGUCCAGGUCACCUGAGGCCCUCGCUGUGGCCACCAGGGUAUGAUGCCUCCUGCUCAGCCAUACCAAGUGCUGUCAGCCCUCAUCACAUAAUGAGGCUGAGCCUAAAGUGCCAUGCUGAGGAGAAUGGGUUUGGCCUCGGGGAUGCUGAGGAGCCGUGGAGAUUUUCAGGCAGAGGAGCACCGCAUAAAACUUUGAAACCGAGAGCAAUGAGGUCUGGUGGCACUAAUGGGAUAGUCUGUGGGUCGUGAUGGCAGGGGGGAAGGAAUGAAGAGUAGACAGAGGAGAGGAAGUGGGGAGCAGGGGUUGGAGAAGAGAGAGCAGGCACCCAGAGGCCCUCUUUUCCCUAGCAGAGCAGAGGCCCGCCCAGCUGCCAGGGGGCCCACGCUGACCAGACGGGCAGGAGCCCCAGGACAGAUGACCGCACUUCUGGAGGCUUUACAUGUUUGGGUUUAUUAGAGGACCCGGCUGACCAGACAACAUGCUGACUUAGGCUUGUUUUCCAGCAUUGGUGGACAAGUGGCUGUACCAUUUUUCCCAUCUCUCGACCUGGCAACUCGUGGACUCAGUCCCCUUCAGUGCCUGCUUGCUGAUCCCAUUGCAUGGCUGUUUCAUGAACCCAUCCCAGGGCUACAACAGGACGGAGUGCCAGGACGCCUGGACCGGGUCACAGGACCCAAACUUUAGUUCAGUCCCACAGCUCUAUUCUGUGUGGACAUGGGCGAACCAUCUGCCCUAGGUUUGUUUUCGGAGUGUAGGUCAGAGGAGGAGGAAUAAGGAUCUUUUGAACAGUGACAUGUAGGCAACAAAUUCAUGGUGCUUAAUGGAGGAUCAAUUAAUGGAGAGAGAAAUGAAUGAAUGCACUCUAGAUUAGGAAUUAUUUAAAUAGAGGCACUGUCAUUUACUUAACAGGUACUUCUCAUUCAUCUGUGAUCGCUCCACUGCUGAGGGAGAGCGUGCAUUGAAGUGUAGGAAACUGAGUCCCGAGAAGAGACAUGUUUAUUCCAAGCCACAAAGUGGGGCAGGAAUUCACACUCCUGCCCUGUGCUGUGACAGAUGAGUGAUCUUGGGAAGGACACGGAACACGCCGGAUCCAGGGAAGACCAGCUGCCCCAGGGCCCAGGCAGACUGCUAGUCCCAGCAGCCCAGCCCACUGAGCUGCAGAGUGACCAUGGACAGGUCACUAAGUGACUCCGGACCUGGGGUCCCGUCAGCGUGGCCUAUACCCUGCCCACCUCGCAGGGCCAGUGAGUGCCGGUCCUCCUAUCCUCCCCUCCGGAAGUUACCCUUAGGGUUCCACUGCCCACACGCCCUGUCCCCCAGCCCCAUCCUCACAGACACCCAAUGCCAAGCCCUCACCCUGCACAUUUUACCUAACCUAAACCAGCAGGCUGGGCCCAUAGCAGCCAUCCCUCUGAUGCAUCUGAGACCCAUCUGUUAGCCAGCCAGACAUCUUAGCAGCCCAGAGCCAAGAGAGUGCCAGGAAGGAAGUGAGAGAGGUUUUGAAACCUUCAGAAUAGAUGCUGUGAAGCUUAUACAUGAAGGCCACCCGCUGACGCAUUGGUGAGCCCCAGAUCCCCCACUCAGGGCCUGUCUUGUUUUGCUUCGCCUAGAGUGUUAUUUUGUGCUGCAGCUCACAGCAAAUUAAAAACAACAACUUAACAGUGGGAGAGAGACUGCCAGAGGCGUGCAGGGCGUUGCAGGGCCAUGGGGGGCAGAGGGGGACGGCCGCUGAUGGGCACACAGCACAUGGGCGUCCUGAUAACCAGGGAAAGUGGAAAGGAUGACGUAAGAGUGGCCAAAUUAGAGCGAACAACCUAGGAAUCAGGCUCCAUCAAUUCUCAGCCGAGGCCAUUCCUGAACAGCAGCUGAGGAUUCAUAUGCAAAGCAAUGACCCAGAGUCACUGAGGAAAGAUCGCACCGUGCCCAUUAUGGAUUUUCUACUUAGCAUGGAUUAUGAAAUCCAGACAGGAAGAGUUUCAUCCAAAUGGUUUGACAUUUGAGGCAGGUGCUGGCAGGCCAGGAGGAGGCCCCACUUAUGCAGGAAAUCCUCUCGGAGAACCCCCGAGACAGAGGAUAUGGUGGCGUUGUGGUUCUUACAGUAAGCGCGCACCUGUUCCGCACCUGGCUCUGGGGGCCCCCGGGAGGCCACCAGCGUGCUGCCAGGCUGGCCGGAAAACAGCCGGGCACACGGGACAGGCGCCUUCAGCACAAGGCACGUCAAGAUUCACCCCCCUCCCUCUGAGCUGCAGAGUUCCGGGAAGGAACGACCGACCGAGUCCAGUUGGGGAGGCGGGGCGGGCUCUCCGGGGAAGCGCAGCAGAAGCAGAAGCGUAGCAGGCCGAGAGGGUGGAGAGAAACCAAACAAGCUGGCCUGGCAGCCAACCCUGGCAGGGUGGGAGCUGCAGGGACAGUGUUUACAUGAAGAUACAAGUGUUGAAUACCAGCGUCGGACAGUGCAGUUUCUGAGGAGUAUCUGAACCAAGGCUGCGUUUUCAGAGUUACAGCAGCGGCAGGGACUGUGUGGCCGAGUUUCAGCUGGGGGGCGACAGAAGAACUACAUCCCCCUGGACCAGCUGUUUAGAUUCGAGACCCGAGGGGUCGCAGCUGGGGUUGGGGAGGAUGGCUUCAUGACGAGUCAAUAUCACCCCACCUCCUCACAUCCUCCUCCGGAAGCAGAGCCUGCGGCUACCCAAACAAGGUUCUGGAGAGUUCUCCCGUGAGCAGCUGGCCCUUGCUGGAAGACAAUAAAUGGUCUCUACUGUCUCUCAUAAGAAGCUGGUCAAGGAGGUCAGAGGAGCCUGGGGUUGGCAGGUGGAGGCAGAGGCAGCGGACCUGGGCUCACGCUCCUGUCGGCCAUCCCAGCUCACCUACCCCACGUCAUGCCCUCUCCUGAUUCUGGGUAAUUGGACACCCCACGGCUGCCUGUUUCCCCCAUUAUAACUCCUAUCAGUUGUGCUAUAACUGCCUGCCUCUCCCGUUAGGGAUUCGUGGAAGGCAGAGUUUGUUGGAUUCAUUUCUGUCCUAGUGCAUGGCACGGGGCCUGGCACACAGUAGA
This is a long non-coding RNA of Acinonyx jubatus (cheetah), 3934 nucleotides long. RefSeq lists it as uncharacterized. The transcript is spliced from 3 exons. Lineage: Eukaryota; Metazoa; Chordata; Mammalia; Carnivora; Felidae. The record is from RefSeq and is a predicted model, not a curated record.